Molecule: ribosomal RNA, 269 nt
Filed under: uncultured Planctomycetota bacterium
Lineage: Bacteria; Pseudomonadati; Planctomycetota
Description: uncultured planctomycete partial 16S ribosomal RNA
Rfam family: Bacterial small subunit ribosomal RNA
Source: RNAcentral
GAGCACGUAGGUGGGUUUGUAAGUCAGAUGUGAAAGCCUCCUGUUCAACGGGAGACUUGCAUCUGAAACUACUGAUCUUGAGUGUAGGAGGGGAGAAUGGAACUUCUGGUGGAGCGGUGAAAUGCGUAGAUAUCAGAAGGAACGCCGGCGGCGAAAGCGAUUCUCUGGCCUAUUACUGACACUCAGUGUGCGAAAGCUAGGGGAGCAAACGGGAUUAGAUACCCCGGUAGUCCUAGCCGUAAACGAUGGGCACUAAGUAGAGGGGUUUU